GACGAACGCUGGCGGCGUGCUUAACACAUGCCAGUCGAACGGAAAGGCCCUGCUUUUGUGGGGUGCUCGAGUGGCGAACGGGUGAGUAACACGUGAGUAACCUGCCCUUGACUUUGGGAUAACUUCAGGAAACUGGGGCUAAUACCGGAUAGGAGCUCCUGCUGCAUGGUGGGGGUGGGAAAGUUUCGGCGGUUGGGGAUGGACUCGCGGCUUAUCAGCUUGUUGGUGGGGUAGUGGCUUACCAAGGCAUUGACGGGUAGCCGGCCUGAGAGGGUGACCGGCCACAUUGGGACUGAGAUACGGCCCAGACUCCUACGGGAGGCAGCAGUGGGGAAUAUUGCACAAUGGGCGGAAGCCUGAUGCAGCAACGCCGCGUGCGGGAUGACGGCCUUCGGGUUGUAAACCGCUUUCGCCUGUGACGAAGCGUGAGUGACGGUAAUGGGUAAAGAAGCACCGGCUAACUACGUG
Molecule: ribosomal RNA, 468 nt
Filed under: uncultured bacterium
Lineage: Bacteria
Description: partial 16S ribosomal RNA
Rfam family: Bacterial small subunit ribosomal RNA
Source: RNAcentral